UACGGAAGGCAGCAGUGGGGAAUAUUGCACAAUGGGCGAAAGCCUGAUGCAGCUAUGCCGCGUGUAUGAAGAAGGCCUUAGGGUUGUAAAGUACUUUCAUCGGGGAGGAAAAACAAAACUAAUAAUUUUAUUUCUUGACGUUACCCGAAAAAGAAGCACCGGCUAACUCCGUGCCAGCAGCCGCGGUAAUACGGAGGGUGCUAGCGUUAAUCAGAAUUACUGGGCGUAAAGGGCACGCAGGCGGUUAAUUAAGUUGGAUGUGAAAUCCCCGGGCUUAACCUGGGAAUGGCAUUCAAGACUGGUUAGCUAGAGUCUUGUAGAGGGGGUAGAAUUCCAUGUGUAGCGGUGAAAUGCGUAGAGAUGUGGAGGAAUACCGGUGGCGAAGGCGGCCCCUGGACAAAGACUGACGCUCAUGUGCGAAAGCGUGGGGAGCAAACAGGGAUUAGAUACC
RNAcentral lists this ribosomal RNA (451 nucleotides) under uncultured bacterium. Its description in RNAcentral is "bacterial SSU rRNA". It matches the Rfam family "Bacterial small subunit ribosomal RNA", at positions 340 to 786 of the family's 1533-position model. The record is from RNAcentral.